CAGUGCAGCGACCUAUGGGCCUAGAAGGGCCCCCGCCAGACCACAUUUUGCUGGCCAGUCACGGGUGGCAGAAACUGCUGGCCUCUCUUUCGACAGCCCACAGGAAACAUUUGCACCUCCAGCACUUUCUGCACAAAGCGCUCCAUGGGAGCAACACCCGUGUGUGGUUUAGAAGCCAUUUGCUACACUGCUUUGAAAUUCAUCUUUCUAUACGACCUCUGGGGGUGCAGUGAAAGACCUAAACCCUCCUGCUGUCUACGCAUGUAGUUAUGGUGAGAGAAUUAAAUGACACUGAAAAUUCUGGAAAUGAGGAGAAACAGACUAAAACUUCAGGCAUCAGGAGAAUGAUGAGAGAGAAGAGUCUUUUAGGAGCAACUUUGAUCUACCUCAUGAGUCCAAGAUUUUUGAUUUAUGUGAGCUGUGCCUUAUCGAUGUGGG
Long non-coding RNA from Lemur catta (Ring-tailed lemur), 438 nucleotides. RefSeq lists it as uncharacterized. The record is from RefSeq and is a predicted model, not a curated record. Lineage: Eukaryota; Metazoa; Chordata; Mammalia; Primates; Lemuridae. The transcript is spliced from 3 exons.